RNAcentral lists this long non-coding RNA (208 nucleotides) under Elaeis guineensis (African oil palm). RNAcentral's name for it is "long non-coding RNA (EGUI_LNC016441)". The record is from RNAcentral. Lineage: Eukaryota; Viridiplantae; Streptophyta; Magnoliopsida; Arecales; Arecaceae.
GUGCAACGAAGGAUUAGAAAGAGGACAUGUGUCGCCUCUCCAAUCUCCUUGGUGAAGCAUGCGAGAUCACAGGAUCGAUGCUUUUCCUGCCGUUGGCCCGCCAGAGAGAAGGAAUUAUAAUUUAAUGAUAAAAGAAUUUUUUUUAUCAAAAUGGCUCGUGGUACGGUGUGUCUGCAGGGCCAACUAUCGCUGGUGGUCCCCCCAUGCU